GAAAAGAAAAUGUUUAACUUUGUAAGAAACUGCCAAACUGUGUUCCAAAGUGGCUGUACCAUUUUGCAUUCCUACCAGGAAUAAAUGAGACUUCCUGUUGA
Molecule: long non-coding RNA, 101 nt
Organism: Lynx canadensis (Canada lynx)
Lineage: Eukaryota; Metazoa; Chordata; Mammalia; Carnivora; Felidae
Exons: 3
Source: RefSeq, a predicted model, not a curated record